UACGGAGGAUGCAAGCGUUAUCCGGAAUUAUUGGGCGUAAAGCGUCCGCAGGUGGUUAUCCAAGUCUGCUGUUAAAGCGCGAGGCUUAACUUCGUACAGGCAGUGGAAACUGGGUGACUGGAGUAUGGUAGGGGUAGCGGGAAUUCCCAGUGUAGCGGUGAAAUGCGUGGAUAUUGGGAAGAACACCAGCGGCGAAAGCGCGCUACUGGGCCAUUACUGACACUCAUGGACGAAAGCUAGGGGAGCGAAAGGG
This 253-nucleotide ribosomal RNA is filed under the name uncultured bacterium. RNAcentral describes it as "partial 16S ribosomal RNA". It matches the Rfam family "Bacterial small subunit ribosomal RNA", at positions 524 to 776 of the family's 1533-position model. The record is from RNAcentral.